Molecule: ribosomal RNA, 506 nt
Filed under: Bacillaceae bacterium A-31-25-1
Lineage: Bacteria; Bacillati; Bacillota; Bacilli; Caryophanales; Bacillaceae
Description: bacterial SSU rRNA
Rfam family: Bacterial small subunit ribosomal RNA
Source: RNAcentral
AGAGUUUGAUCCUGGCUCAGGACGAACGCUGGCGGCGUGCCUAAUACAUGCAAGUCGAGCGGACUUUAAAAGCUUGCUUUUAAAGUUAGCGGCGGACGGGUGAGUAACACGUGGGCAACCUGCCUGUAAGACUGGGAUAACUUCGGGAAACCGGAGUCUAAUACCGGAUAAUCCUUUUCCUCUCAUGAGGCAAAAGCUGAAAGAUGGUUUACGCUGUCACUUACAGAUGGGCCCGCGGCGCAUUAGCUAGUUGGUGAGGUAACGGCUCACCAAGGCAAUCGAUGCGUAGCCGACCUGAGAGGGUGAUCGGCCACACUGGGACUGAGACACGGCCCAGACUCCUACGGGAGGCAGCAGUAGGGAAUCUUCCGCAAUGGACGAGAAGUCUGACGGAGCAACGCCGCGUGAGUGAUGAAGGUUUUCGGAUCGUAAAACUCUGUUGUUAGGGAAGACACAAGUACAAGAGUGAACUGCUUGAUACCUUGUACGGUACCUAACCGAGACAG